RNAcentral lists this unclassified non-coding RNA (277 nucleotides) under Hevea brasiliensis (rubber tree). Lineage: Eukaryota; Viridiplantae; Streptophyta; Magnoliopsida; Malpighiales; Euphorbiaceae. The record is from RNAcentral.
GGGACAACUCCAUUCUGGCCAUGGAAAAGCCUGAAUGCCAUAUCGAAAUUAGGCCCAUCUUCAAAGAUUGGACCCUUGACUCCUUGUACAGGCACGUGCAAAUUGACAGAAGAGAACGAAAAACUUGUUGGUUCAUUGAUGUUUCUCAGAAAUGGGCAUCGCUGAAUGUCCUGUGGAGCGAAACUGUUCUCAGAGCAUGAUGAGUCAGUUAUAGAGUUCCCUAACAGAAAUUCCAUUUCGCGAAGUUGGUUAACCUCUUACAGCGGAGCUGCCGAAG